ACCGGGUUCACCUUACGUUGUGCAAUUAGCUGUGUUUUGAAGAACCGUAGCAAUGUCUGGUUGGAAUGCACCUCCCACCCAAUAUAAGAAUCCUUUCAACAGUGUUCCCAGGAGAUGGUCAAACAAUCCUUGCUUUAACUCCUGAAAAUACACAGGGGAAGCUUGUUCCUCUAACUGUGAUACCCUCUGCAGAGCAAGAAUAAUUUUGGAAAAAGAAUAAUCCUUUCAUCUUACAGCACAGCCGAAGCCCGGGAUGCGUGGCCAAAGGAAGAAGGAGCAAGAGAUGAUGAAGGAUUUGUAGGCGAAGCACCAAGGCAACCUUCUGACUGGGGAUCUUAUGACACAGAUGUUGAUACACGGAAUGUGCAAGUGUGGAAGAUUCUCGCUGGACUGCGAUGCCUCCAUCCAACACGUAUUUAUUGCUCCGUCGGUGUGUGCAGGUCUGGAGGCCAGAGAUCAAGGUGUCGGCGGGCCGUGCUCCCACCGAACCUGUGGUGGGGCCCUACGAAGAGAGACGCCAGGGAUUCACGUACACAGAGAAAAGACCAUGUGAGGACACGGUGAGAAGGUGGCUAUCUGCAAGCCAAGGAGAGAGGACUCAAGAGAAAGCAGCCCUGCGGACACCUAUCUUGGACUUCUAGGCUCCAGAACUGAGAAAAUAAAUUUCUUUUAAGCCCCCCA
RNAcentral lists this long non-coding RNA (681 nucleotides) under Equus caballus (horse). Its description in RNAcentral is "lncRNA (ENSECAG00000054957.1)". The record is from RNAcentral. Lineage: Eukaryota; Metazoa; Chordata; Mammalia; Perissodactyla; Equidae.